Arachis ipaensis is the source of this 5736-nucleotide non-coding RNA. Lineage: Eukaryota; Viridiplantae; Streptophyta; Magnoliopsida; Fabales; Fabaceae. The record is from RefSeq and is a predicted model, not a curated record.
UAUUAAAAAAAAAAAUAUAAUUCCUUAUUAUUCAAAAAAAAAUACAAAUCUCCAGAGAAGGGGCGCUGAAGCCCUAGGAGAGAACGUGACCCUGGAGACGACGGAGACUAAAUCCUCACCUUUGUCACACACACCUCACAUCCCGGCUUCUAGUUCUCGUUCUUCUUCGCUCUUAGCUCCUUUCCGUUGCAUCUCCUUCUAUAUUACGGGGAGGAAGUGAGAAUGAGUGACUGUACUAUGGUGGUGGGCAAAAAGACUGCAGAGGAAGAAGAUUUGGUGAGGCAUAACAUCAAAAAAAUGAAAUCGAAUGGAGAUGAAGUUCUUACUGAAUUUGAGGAGGAUGAGACAGAAGAUAUAUAUGAAGCAAUUCCUAAGCUGAAUAAGCAAACAGGGCCUGAUAAGAUGGAGGCAGAUUUUAAGCAGAAUAAGACUCCCUCAACUGGGAUUUUGACGGAAGGCGAAGUGCCUAGAGGGUCCCGACAGCAACGUAUAUCAUACAUGGAUAGCUUGAUGCAUGGUGAUACUGGUAUGGUGCUAUCUUCGGAUGAAAUCGUGCAAAUGGUCACAGAGGAGUAUGAUAUGGAGGAAGUCACCGGAGGAGGUAAUACAGAUCUAGCUCCUUUCAAUCCUAAACCUGUAGUUGAUGUUUCAUUAGAGGAAUAUGACAUGUGGUGUAAAUCAUGGAAAGGCUCAUUGAUUGUUAAACUCCUGGAAAAAACUAUCGGUUAUCACGCUAUUGAAACCUGGAUAAGAAGAGUUUUGACGCGAAAAGGGAAUGUCAAUGUUAUGGAUCUCAUAGGAGACUUUUUUCAGGUCCGUUUCUCGGAUGAAGGGGACUGCCAUGCUCUUUUUUAGGGUUCCUGGCAGGUGGCGAAUCACUACCUUCUAGUGCAGAGAUGGAGGCCAUUUUUUCUCCCUUCUAAUCAACCGGUAUAGAAACUAGCAAUAUGGAUUCAAAUUCCAGGCUUUUCGGUCGAACUAUACACGAAGCAAUUCCUCUGGAGAGUGGGUGGAAAGCUAGGUACAAUGUUAAAGGUUGAUCACACUACUUCCAUACAUUCAAGGGAAAAAUUUGCUCACAUAUGUGUUGAGAUUGACUUGAGCAAGCAAUUAGUGCCAGCCAUUCAAGUACUUAGCAGAGAGUUCAAGAUUGAAUAUGAGGGUCUCCACAUGAUUUAAUUUGCUUUGGUUGUGGCAAAUAUGGUCAUAGGAUGGACCAAUGUUCCGAAGGAAAGAAAAAGGAGGCAUCACUAGUGACGAAUUCAAUGCCGUUGGGAGAUCCGAUGUUGGAUGGGAUGGAAUUAGAAGGUGCAAAAAAAGGAGAGACUAGCGGUCAUAAUUCAAUUUUGAACAAUCCUCAAGCAGAUUCCAAGGAACCAAAUCCCGUGAAUGAGGGUAACCCAGAAGGGGUGGUUAUUCAUGAAGAUCUUAGUUACUUCGGACUGUGGAUGUUGGCUAAAAGAAAGCAAAAACGCAAUGGGCAACCUAAACAAGGCUUUGAUACUGUGCCUGCUAGAAGCCAAACCAAGAAGUCAGGUUCCAGGUUUGAAGUCUUGGUCUAGGAAUAGUUAGAAACGGAUGGUCCACUAGUUCAUGAGGAAAAGUUGAAAAGCUCAUCAGGUAACAUCAACAAACCUUCUAUUGCAAAACAUCACUAUCAUGCGGGUUCUUCAAAUAAAGUGGCUCAACAAGAUCUUCAGAGAAACAAAACAAAUAAUGUUAGAAUUCCUAAUAAUCAAGUUUCUCAACAUGAGAAAAUGAAGGAUAAAAUAGAUUAUUUGAACCCCAAUUUGGUGAGGAAGAAAACUGAUGAUUAUUGGCUCUCCUUGGAGCUCAUUAAGCAAGCUAGAUACAUGCCGAGAGGUGACUCUUUGUGCUUGGGUGAAGGUAACGUUUAGACCCAUUACCCAUCUAAGGAAGUUAUGAAAGCGGUGAAUCUGCUUCACAACAGGGCUCGAGGCAGUAUGCAGGAAUCCAAACCUCCUGAUCUAGGAAAGACCCCUGUAGAUAUAGCUCCCAGUAAUGAUCAACUAUCCCUUGCGUUGGGUAGCAAUCAGGAAAGCAUGGUGGUGGAUUCAGUUACCGCCAACGUUCACUCUAUCCAGAACCAUAUUGGUAUCUUACUCUGGUGUAUGGGUCUCCCCAUCUUAGCCUCCGUUAUGAACUAUGGAGUGGGAUGAAGGAUUUAGCAGGGCAAAUCUCCGGAGAAUGGUUCGUGGGGGACGAUUUCAAUUGUGUUCUCUCGGUGGCAGAUACUGGGGGAACUUCUGGCCUAUCUCGUGACUCACAAUGUUUUUCUGGGUGUCUUUUAGAUUGUGGUCUUCAAGAUAUUGGAUUUCAUGGUCAACCAUUCACAUGGCAACAUGGUGUAAUACGUAGGCGGCUAGAUAGCAUGGCUUUCGCAUGAGGAUUUUGAGAAUUUUCUUGGAAGGACCUAGAGGAAUGAUGUUUUUUUAGAAACUAAUGUGAGUAAUUUUAUGGAAGCAGCAAAAAGUUGGAAUGAGGAUGUGUUCGGUAAUCUGGCUCGUAGGAAAGCUCGAAUUCUAGCUCGGCUAAAUGGUAUUUUGGAGCAUAUUCGGUUUCAUAUUAAUCCCUUUCUUGAUGAUUUACAAUCUUUGCUUUGGAAGGAGUUGUAGGCUAUUUUAAUUCAAGAGGAAAUUUAUUGGAAACAAUGCUCUCGUUGUAAGUGGAUCAAUUUCGGAGAUAAAAAUACUUCCUACUUCCAUAAUAUGGUAACUGCGAGGAGAAGAAAAAAUAGAGUUACUAUGCUGAAGAAUUUUGAGGGUGAUUGGGUAGAGAUGCGAAUUUGCUAUGCAACCUCGGAGUUCAACAUUUUCGGAAUCUUUAUACAGAGAAUAAUACUUAUAUAAAAUUGGAGGCUCCAGGUUUGUUCCCAAAGCUAAAUUUGGCAGAAAGGAGUGAGCUUGGCAGAGGGGUGACGCUAGAAGAGAUUUCUUCUGCUCUUUUUUCGAUAAGAUCUUGGAAGGCGCUAGGGCCAGAUGGGCUCCCUGCUAUGUUCUUCCAAAGUAAAUGGAAUAUAGUGAAAUCCCCUCUAACGAGUUGGGUGGCACAUAUUUUCAAUAAUCAUGAUGCUAUUAAGGUAGUUAAUCAGACGUUCAUUUCCUUAAUUCCGAAGAAAGAAACUCCAGAGAACAUUAACCACUUUUGGCCCAUUGGACUCUGCAAUGUUUCAUACAAGCUUGUCACUAAGAUCAUUGCUCAGAGGCUUAAAGUGGUAAUGCCAAAGCUGAUCAGUUCAUCUUAGUGUGCUUUUGUUCUGGGGAGACAAAGUGCGGACAACAUUGUAGCGGCCCAAGAAGCUAUUCAUAUUAUGAAAGCAAAGAAGGGCCUAUUGGUUAUAUGGCGGUGAAAAUUGAUCUUGAAAAGGCUUAUGAUCGCCUUAACUGGAACUUUAUACAUGAUACUCUCGUGGAAGCCAAGCUGCAUAAGAACCUGAUCGAUCUUAUUGUUCAGUGCUAUUCCUCGGGUGAAAUGAAAGUUCUUUGGAAUGGGAGUCCCUCAUCCUCUUUUUCUCCUUCCAGAGGUGUUCGGCAAGGUGAUCCUAUUUUACUGUACUUUUUUGUCCUCUGCAUUGAACAAUUGGCCCAAAUUAUCUCUGUUGCAGUUAAUAAUAACUUGUGGGUUUCUAUCAUGCUUCGUCGUGGAGGUCCGAAGCUGUUGUACCUUUGUUUCGCUGAUGAUAUUGUACUCUUUGGUGAGGCUUCUUUGGAGCAGGUGGGUCUGAUUAGAGGUAUUUUGGAUUUCUUUUGUCGUAGCUCUGGCCAAAAAGUGAGUUAUGAGAAAUCUUGUAUUUUCUUCUCCGAUAAUGUGUCUUUUACUAGGAAUCUAGAAAUGAGCGAGGCCUUAGGGAUGCGUUUGACCUCUAAUUUGGGAAAGUAUAUUGGUGUUCCUUUACUUCAUAGGCGAACCAAGAAGGAUGAUUUUUACUUUAUUGAGGAGAGGAUGUAGAGUAGAUUGAGUAUUUGGAAGGCAAGAAAUCUUUCUUUAGCUGCACGAGUAACAUUAACUCAAUCUGCUUUAGCUACCAUAUCAUACAUUAUGCAAACCAUGAAGAUUCCUUUGAGCAUAUGUGACAAAAAUUGACAAAAUUUGUCGAAAUUUUAUUUGGGGCAGUGACUCUAAUAUGAAGAAGUCUCAUCUAAUCAGCUGGGACAGAAUAUGCCAAUCCAAGCAGCAAAGGGGUCUGGGCCUGAGAUCGGCUAGGAUCCUGAAUAAUGCAAAUAUGAUGAAACUAGCAUGGAGGUUAAUUCAUGAUAGGGAGACCAUGUGGGUAAAGGUUUUGAGGAAUAAAUAUGGCGGUGAUACUCUUAUUCCAAAAAUAACCAAACCUCAAUCUUGUUCUAAUGUGUGGAAGGGAAUCUGUCAAGUUUGGAAGCGGUUUGAAGGCAACCUUAUUUGGAGAUUAGGUGCUGGUAAUACAACUCGAUUCUGGGUUGACCACUGGCUGCCUGGUGUGUAUCGGCUUGUUGAUUUUGUUCAGAAUGGUAUAUUAGAGGAUAGGCUGGAAGAUAGAGUUUGUGACUAUGUUUCGGGCUCAAAUUGGGAUUUUAAUCUUAUUUUGGAGUUACUGGGCGAGAACUGGGCUCCCAUUUUUGCCGCGACAAAACCUCCUGAAGCGAGCUUUGGGGAUGACCAAGUGGCUUUGUUGCACUCAGCAAAUGGCUCCUUUUCCAUUAAGUCGGCCUGCUCCAUUUAUCUGGAAACCCCUGAGGACUCGGCUGCUAGUCUGUUUUUGAAGGUUUGGAAGCUUAAUGCCCUCAAAGAAUCCGAGCUUUUUGUUGGUUGGUUGCAAAUGAUGCCUUACUCACUAAUGCUCUGCGAUUUAGAAAGGGGAUGAUUCAAGAUGAUAUUUGCAAGAUCUGUGGAAACUUUCCUGAAUCUGUGCUCCAUGUCCUCCGUGAUUGUAGAAUUGCGUACACGACGUGGAAGAGCAUAAACAAUUCAUUGGGUCUUGAUAAUUUCUUCAACAAACCUCUUUAAUUUUGGCUUUUGGAGAACCUGUCAUCCCAAUCCACCUACCAAGGUAUUCCUUGGCCCCUACUUUUCUCUUGUAUCAUGAAUACUCCUUGGUUUCGUCGGAAUAAGUAUAUCUUUGAAGAGGAUCAAACUAUGCCAGAGGGUGCUGUCCAUUUGGCUGCUCUUCCGCUAGCUUGAGAUUAUCCUGCUGCCCAGUCUAAGUUUAGCAGAAUAAGGAGAAAUAUUGGUUCUUUUAUGGAAAAGAAGAUUCAUUAAACUAAAUAUAGAUGGUUCAGUGUCAAAGGAGGGAAAGGCUGCGUGUGGUGGCAUUUUGCGGGAUCAUGAAGGACAAUUCUUAGCUUGUUUUAGCACCAAUCUAAGUGUUUGUACUAUUACUGUGGCUGAAUUGUGGGGGCAUACUUCUUGAUACGGAAUUAGCUAUUCACUUGAGUAUUGCUAAUCUCGCUAUUUAGAUUGAUUCAAGAGUUGCAGUUUCGUUAUGUCUGAAUGAUAAUAUCGAUCUCCAUAGAGCUCGCACGCUCAUCAUGGCUAUUAAAGACAGGUUCAACAAGUUUUCAUGUUGGGAGCUUCACCAUGAAUUUCGAGAAGCAAAUUGGUGUGCCGAUCGUUUAGCAUCUAAUGGACACUCUCUGGAGUUUGGUUGUCAUUUCUUUUAUAAUUUAUCUUCUUGUAUUUCGUCCUAUUUUCUUUUUGAUGCUAUGAGCGUCUCCUUCUCUAAAAUAGUUUUUACAUAGUGUU